Molecule: ribosomal RNA, 740 nt
Filed under: Pseudomonas sp. GA12-2
Lineage: Bacteria; Pseudomonadati; Pseudomonadota; Gammaproteobacteria; Pseudomonadales; Pseudomonadaceae
Description: bacterial SSU rRNA
Rfam family: Bacterial small subunit ribosomal RNA
Source: RNAcentral
CGGCGGACGGGUGAGUAAUGCCUAGGAAUCUGCCUGGUAGUGGGGGACAACGUUUCGAAAGGAACGCUAAUACCGCAUACGUCCUACGGGAGAAAGCAGGGGACCUUCGGGCCUUGCGCUAUCAGAUGAGCCUAGGUCGGAUUAGCUAGUUGGUGAGGUAAUGGCUCACCAAGGCGACGAUCCGUAACUGGUCUGAGAGGAUGAUCAGUCACACUGGAACUGAGACACGGUCCAGACUCCUACGGGAGGCAGCAGUGGGGAAUAUUGGACAAUGGGCGAAAGCCUGAUCCAGCCAUGCCGCGUGUGUGAAGAAGGUCUUCGGAUUGUAAAGCACUUUAAGUUGGGAGGAAGGGUUGUAGAUUAAUACUCUGCAAUUUUGACGUUACCGACAGAAUAAGCACCGGCUAACUCUGUGCCAGCAGCCGCGGUAAUACAGAGGGUGCAAGCGUUAAUCGGAAUUACUGGGCGUAAAGCGCGCGUAGGUGGUUUGUUAAGUUGGAUGUGAAAUCCCCGGGCUCAACCUGGGAACUGCAUCCAAAACUGGCAAGCUAGAGUAUGGUAGAGGGUGGUGGAAUUUCCUGUGUAGCGGUGAAAUGCGUAGAUAUAGGAAGGAACACCAGUGGCGAAGGCGACCACCUGGACUGAUACUGACACUGAGGUGCGAAAGCGUGGGGAGCAAACAGGAUUAGAUACCUGGUAGUCCACGCCGUAAACGAUGUCAACUAGCCGUUGGGAGCCUU